Molecule: ribosomal RNA, 440 nt
Filed under: uncultured bacterium
Lineage: Bacteria
Description: partial 16S ribosomal RNA
Rfam family: Bacterial small subunit ribosomal RNA
Source: RNAcentral
CCUACGGGAGGCAGCAGUGGGGAAUAUUGCACAAUGGGGGGAACCCUGAUGCAGCAACGCCGCGUGGGUGAAGAAGUACUCCGGUAUGUAAAGCUCUGUCAGCAGGGAAGAAAAUGACGGUACCUGACGAAGAAGCCCCGGCUAACUACGUUCCAGCAGCCGCGGUAAUACGUAGGGGGCAAGCGUUAUCCGGAUUUACUGGGUGUAAAGGGGGCGUAGACGGGAAGGUAAGUCUGCAGUGAAAGCCUGUGGCUCAACCACGGGACUGCUUUGGAAACUGUGUUGCUGGAGUGCAGGAGAGGUAAGCGGAAUUCCUAGUGUAGCGGUGAAAUGCGUAGAUAUUAGGAGGAACACCGGUGGCGAAGGCGGCUUACUGGACUGUAACUGACGUUGAGGCUCGAAGGCGUGGGGAGCAAACAGGAUUAGAUACCCUUGUAGUC